CAGUAGCCGCGGGAAUACGUAGGGCGCAAGCGUUAUCCGGAAUUAUUGGGCGUAAAGAGCUCGUAGGCGGUUUGUCGCGUCUGCCGUGAAAGUCCGGGGCUCAACCCCGGAUCUGCGGUGGGUACGGGCAGACUAGAGUGAUGUAGGGGAGACUGGAAUUCCUGGUGUAGCGGUGAAAUGCGCAGAUAUCAGGAGGAACACCGAUGGCGAAGGCAGGUCUCUGGGCAUUAACUGACGCUGAGGAGCGAAAGCAUGGGGAGCGAACAGGAUUAGAUACCCUGUAGUCCCUGUCUCUUAUACA
Molecule: ribosomal RNA, 301 nt
Filed under: uncultured bacterium
Lineage: Bacteria
Description: partial 16S ribosomal RNA
Rfam family: Bacterial small subunit ribosomal RNA
Source: RNAcentral